RNAcentral lists this ribosomal RNA (498 nucleotides) under uncultured bacterium. RNAcentral describes it as "bacterial SSU rRNA". It matches the Rfam family "Bacterial small subunit ribosomal RNA", at positions 24 to 509 of the family's 1533-position model. The record is from RNAcentral.
UCAGGAUGAACGCUAGCUACAGGCUUAACACAUGCAAGUCGAGGGGCAGCAUUAUCGAAGCUUGCUUUGAUAGAUGGCGACCGGCGCACGGGUGCGUAACGCGUAUCCAACCUGCCGUGUACUCGGGGAUAGCCCUUUGAAAGGAGGAUUAAUACCCGAUGUGGUUGUUCCGGGGCAUCCCGGUACAAUUAAAGAUUAUAUCGGUACAUCGAUGGGGAUGCGUACGAUUAGCUUGUCGGCGGGGUAACGGCCCACCGAGGCGACGAUCGUUAGGGGUUCUGAGAGGAAGGUCCCCCACAUAGGAACUGAGACACGGUCCUAACUCCUACGGGAGGCAGCAGUGAGGAAUAUUGGUCAAUGGGCGCGAGCCUGAACCAGCCAAGUAGCGUGAAGGAUGACUGCCCUAUGGGUUGUAAACUUCUUUUGUCUGGGAAUAAAGUGAGGUACGCGUACCUUUUUGUAUGUACCAGACGAAUAAGCAUCGGCUAAUUCCGUGCC